Long non-coding RNA from Heterocephalus glaber (naked mole-rat), 1715 nucleotides. The record is from Ensembl. NCBI's taxonomy places the organism in Eukaryota, Metazoa, Chordata, Mammalia, Rodentia, Bathyergidae.
GGCCUCGAACCUCAGACUCGGAACAGCCGGGCCAGGAGGGCGUGCGGCCCAGCGAUGGCUUCACACAUGGAGCUGGGGUCCCAAAAGGUGCCCAGUGUUUCCCCCUGGACUCCGUCCCUCUCCUGAGGUCUUCCCAGUCACUGCCGCCUUGGGAGGGCCCCAUUUCCUCCGGCCCUGCCUGCCCUCCUCAUGGGUUUGGCUUGUUUUGAGACAGGAUCUUGCUACAUUACGUAGUUCAUGCUGGCCUCAAACUUGUGAUUCUCCUGCCUCGGCCUCCCGAGUGCUGGGAUUACAGGUGUGUGCUACUGUGCCCAGUGCUUUCUCUGGGCUCCAGGGAUGUUCAUACGUCUUCCUUUGCCAGGAGCAUGAGUGGGAAGGGAAACAGCACCCCUUGCAGAAGCCCGGGUGUGGGAGGGGUCCCCCCAGCAGCCUGCCCAGCUCUGGCCCUGGGCCAGCAUCGCUACCUCCUCGGGGUGGUUCUGGCCCAGGUCCAGCUGGUGCCGUGUCACCCUGCCCACCCCCACAGGCCACGAACGGCCCAGGAGGAGAAAUGCAGUUGGGCCAGCCAGGCCUGCAGGUCACUUCAGCCGCCAUCUGUUCCAGUCCCAGCCCUGCCACUUGCUAGCAUGUGGCCUUAGCAAGCUCCUCCUCUGAGCCUGAGCCUCCCGCUGUGUCAGGAGACCACCUGCUUGGGAUCUGGUGGGCCUCCACAUGGCACCCAGCAGCCAUAGGUGGCUCACCAACAGGCCUGGGCUGUGGGUGCCAGCCCUGCCCAGGCUUCCAAGGAGUGCCGCCCCCGGGGGCUCCAGUCAUUUCCAUUCCUGAGGCCACCAGCCCACGUGGAACGCUUGGUAGGAGGCGCCCACCCGACUGCAUCAGAGCCAGCAAGGCAGGGAGCCAGAAACUGGCCAAGAGAGGAAGCCACCAGAUGGGGCUGGAAGGGAGCUCUGACAGCCUCUCCUCACCUGGGUCUGCUCAUCAGCAUCGGCCAGCCUGGUGGGGACGGUGGCGCCCAAACGGACAUGCAGCAAGCAGGCCUCAUCUUCCUGCUUGGGGUAGUCCCACUCCAUCUCCUCCAGACAGGUUCCUGUGGGCAGAGCAGGGUCAGCCCUGUGAUGUUCACUCUUCCUUAGGAUGAAGGCAAACCAUUCCCGGUCCUGUUGCCCUAUCAUCUUUGGCUUUUCCUUGACCCUAGGCUGCCAAAGGUAGAAGAUUUAAAACCCUGAACUGGGCCAGGGAUUUAGCUCAGUGGUACCGUGCCUGCCUCAAAAGCACAAGGUCCUGAGUUCGAUCCCUGGUACCAAAUAAAUAAAUAAAUAAAAAUAAAACCCUGAACCAAUACCCUCUUCUCCCAAAUUGACGUACAUCCUCUGUCUAAAACCGAGACAGUCACAAAAGCUGUGGACCAGGAGGUGGAUGGUGGAAAGGACGGUCCCUGAUGCCAGCAGCCUACACUGCUGGUGGCUGGUGGUACAGAGGAGGAGGGUGCUAAUCGCUUCUCAGCCUUUUGGCUAAGAUCAAGUGUAGGAGGAGGGUGCUAUUUGGAUACCACUACUGCUGCUUGGACCUCACCCUGCAGGGCAUCCUGAGCAGGACCAAGGGCUCCCAGGCCAGUACGAGGCGGUGGAGGGGGCCAGCCAGGGGACCUCGCCUGCUUCUGCUUCAUCCAGUUCUUGACCCCCUGAUGCCAUCACCUACAUCACCCAAUCUGUUUG